RNAcentral lists this ribosomal RNA (470 nucleotides) under uncultured Gammaproteobacteria bacterium. RNAcentral's name for it is "bacterial SSU rRNA". It matches the Rfam family "Bacterial small subunit ribosomal RNA", at positions 8 to 470 of the family's 1533-position model. The record is from RNAcentral. Lineage: Bacteria; Pseudomonadati; Pseudomonadota; Gammaproteobacteria.
AGAGUUUGAUCAUGGCUCAGAUUGAACGCUGGCGGCAGGCUUAACACAUGCAAGUCGAGCGGUAACAGGGGAGCUUGCUCCUGCUGACGAGCGGCGGACGGGUGAGUAACGCGUAGGAAUCUACCUAGUAGAGGGGGACAACAUGUGGAAACGCAUGCUAAUACCGCAUACACCCUAAGGGGGAAAGGAGGGGACUCUUCGGAGCCUUCCGCUAUUAGAUGAGCCUGCGUGAGAUUAGCUAGUUGGUAGGGUAAAGGCCUACCAAGGCGACGAUCUCUAACUGGUCUGAGAGGAUGACCAGUCACACUGGGACUGAGACACGGCCCAGACUCCUACGGGAGGCAGCAGUGGGGAAUAUUGGACAAUGGGCGGAAGCCUGAUCCAGCCAUGCCGCGUGUGUGAAGAAGGCCUUAGGGUUGUAAAGCACUUUCAGGGGUGAGGAAGGGUAACUGGCUAAUAUCCAGUUAUCU